Molecule: ribosomal RNA, 439 nt
Filed under: uncultured bacterium
Lineage: Bacteria
Description: partial 16S ribosomal RNA
Rfam family: Bacterial small subunit ribosomal RNA
Source: RNAcentral
CUACGGGGGGCAGCAGUGGGGAAUCUUAGACAAUGGGGGAAACCCUGAUCUAGCCAUGCCGCGUGAGCGACGACGGCCCUAGGGUUGUAAAGCUCUUUCAGCAGGGAAGAUAAUGACGGUACCUGCAGAUGAAGUCCCGGCUAACUCCGUGCCAGCAGCCGCGGUAAUACGGAGGGGACUAGCGUUGUUCGGAAUUACUGGGCGUAAAGCGCGCGUAGGCGGAUUGUUAAGUCGGGGGUGAAAUCCCGGGGCUCAACCCCGGAACUGCCCUCGAUACUGGCAGUCUUGAGUUCGAGAGAGGUGAGUGGAAUUCCGAGUGUAGAGGUGAAAUUCGUAGAUAUUCGGAGGAACACCAGUGGCGAAGGCGGCUCACUGGCUCGAUACUGACGCUGAGGUGCGAAAGCGUGGGGAGCAAACAGGAUUAGAUACCCCCGUAGUC